GCGUCUGGCUGUAGAAGGUAGUAUGGAAAUUCGCCAAUAGUCAAGCAGUCUAUCAGUUUUUGACUGUUGGAAUAUAAACGACUACAAGAAUACACCGUAAAUCUAUACAAAUGCCCUUCGACUGCUUGUCAAAGUCCUUUUUGCCCCAGCCGGUAGGUCUCUAGACGUUACAGAGAACCCCGAACAACCCAAUCUGCUAAUCUCCGAUACGGCUUUGUACUUUUGAUUUUGUAUCCACUGACUGUCUUGUUAGAUUAACCCAAUAAAUUUCAUUCACUUUGCAUAUUCAAUCCUAUAGACACUUUUUUAAUCCUUCAAUCACAGACGUAACUCGAUUUCACAAAACAGUCAAGAGUAAUCAAACCCACUUCAUUAAAAAAUCCCGAUUCACCAUUACAACACUGACUUCAGCAACGAUUGUCUCAGUCUUCCCAAAACUCUAUCAAGAAGAAAAAUCCAAUUCUCUGUCUUUUCUUCCCCGACCCGAAGCAUGAAGCUCCUCUCCAAUCCCCUUGAUCUUCAAAAACCUCCAAUGAAAAA
RNAcentral lists this long non-coding RNA (540 nucleotides) under Physcomitrium patens. Its description in RNAcentral is "long non-coding RNA (PPAT_LNC011553)". Lineage: Eukaryota; Viridiplantae; Streptophyta; Bryopsida; Funariales; Funariaceae. The record is from RNAcentral.